RNAcentral lists this ribosomal RNA (443 nucleotides) under uncultured bacterium. Its description in RNAcentral is "bacterial SSU rRNA". It matches the Rfam family "Bacterial small subunit ribosomal RNA", at positions 29 to 501 of the family's 1533-position model. The record is from RNAcentral.
AGCGAACGCUGGCGGCAGGCCUAACACAUGCAAGUCGAGCGCCCAGCAAUGGGAGCGGCAGACGGGAUAGUAACACGUGGGAACGUACCUUUCAGUUCGGAACAACCCAGGGAAACUUGGGCUAAUACCGAAUACGUCCGUAAGGAGAAAGAUUUAUCGCUGAAAGAUCGGCCCGCGUCUGAUUAGCUAGUUGGUGAGGUAAUGGCUCACCAAGGCGACGAUCAGUAGCNGGUCUGAGAGGAUGAUCAGCAUCACUGGGACUGAGACACGGCCCAGACUCCUACGGGAGGCAGCAGUGGGGAAUAUUGGACAAUGGGCGCAAGCCUGAUCCAGCCAUGCCGCGUGAAGGAUGAAGCGCUCUGCGUCGUAAACUUCUUUACUCGAGAAAAAUUGUUGGGUUUCUACCUGACUUGAUUGUACCGAGAGAAUAAGGACCGGCUAAC